UAGGGAAUCUUCGGCAAUGGACGAAAGUCUGACCGAGCAACGCCGCGUGAGUGAAGAAGGUUUUCGGAUCGUAAAACUCUGUUGUUAGAGAAGAACAAGAACGUUAGUAACUGAACGUCCCCUGACGGUAUCUAACAAGAAAGCCACGGCUAACGACGUGCCAGCAGCCGCGGUAAUACGUAGGUGGCAAGCGUUGUCCGGAUGUAUUGGGCGUAAAGCGAGCGCAGGCGGUUUCUUAAGUCUGAUGUGAAAGCCCCCGGCUAAACCGGGGAGGGUCAUUGGAAACUGGGAGACUUGAGUGCAGAAGAGGAGAGUGGAAUUCCAUGUGUAGCGGUGAAAUGCGUAGAUAUAUGGAGGAACACCAGUGGCGAAGGCGGCUCUCUGGUCUGUAACUGACGCUGAGGCUCGAAAGCGUGGGGAGCAAACAGG
RNAcentral lists this ribosomal RNA (429 nucleotides) under Gemmatimonadota bacterium. RNAcentral's name for it is "Gemmatimonadetes bacterium partial 16S ribosomal RNA". It matches the Rfam family "Bacterial small subunit ribosomal RNA", at positions 355 to 776 of the family's 1533-position model. Lineage: Bacteria; Pseudomonadati; Gemmatimonadota. The record is from RNAcentral.